Molecule: ribosomal RNA, 409 nt
Filed under: uncultured bacterium
Lineage: Bacteria
Description: bacterial SSU rRNA
Rfam family: Bacterial small subunit ribosomal RNA
Source: RNAcentral
AUUGAACGCUGGCGGCAUGCCUAACACAUGCAAGUCGAACGGCAGCACGGGAGCUUGCUCCUGGUGGCGAGUGGCGGACGGGUGAGUAAUGCAUAGGAAUCUGCCCAGUAGCGGGGGACAACUUGGGGAAACUCAAGCUAAUACCGCAUGCGCCCUACGGGGGAAAGCGGGGGACCUUCGGGCCUCGCACUAUUGGAUGAGCCUAUGUCAGAUUAGCUUGUUGGUGGGGUAACGGCCUACCAAGGCGACGAUCUGUAGCUGGUCUGAGAGGACGAUCAGCCACACUGGGACUGAGACACGGCCCAGACUCCUACGGGAGGCAGCAGUGGGGAAUAUUGCACAAUGGGCGAAAGCCUGAUGCAGCAAUGCCGCGUGUGUGAAGAAGGCCUGCGGGUUGUAAAGCACUUUC